Molecule: ribosomal RNA, 391 nt
Filed under: uncultured bacterium
Lineage: Bacteria
Description: bacterial SSU rRNA
Rfam family: Bacterial small subunit ribosomal RNA
Source: RNAcentral
GACGAGCGCUGGCGGCGUGCUUAACACAUGCAAGUCGAGCGGUAAGGCCCUUUCGGGGGUACACGAGCGGCGAACGGGUGAGUAACACGUGGGUGACCUGCCCUCAGCUCUGGGAUAAGCCUGGGAAACCGGGUCUAAUACUGGAUAUGACUCCAUGACGCAUGUUGUGGGGUGGAAAGCCUUGUGCGGCUGAGGAUGGGCCCGCGGCCUAUCAGCUUGUUGGUGGGGNGAUGGCCUACCAAGGCGACGACGGGUAGCCGGCCUGAGAGGGCGACCGGCCACACUGGGACUGAGACACGGCCCAGACUCCUACGGGAGGCAGCAGUGGGGAAUCUUGCGCAAUGGGCGAAAGCCUGACGCAGCGACGCCGCGUGAGGGAUGACGGCCUGGU